CGGCUCCGCGCGCUUGCCUGGCGAGGCCCGGACCCCGGGCGCUACUCGGCCAAAACGGCCGCGGCUUCCCCGCACGGGGAACCCGCGCGCGACCGCCGCUGUGCCGUGCCAGAAAAGGCUCGCCUGCCCCCGGGACCGCGGAGGGGGGGCAGGCAGAAAGGAGCUCCUAUUCGCUUCUCAUUUCCCCAGCGACAAAGUCUGACGUCGCCGCAUCAGGUCCCCAUCCUAAGCAGUUCUCUCCCAGAGAUUUGAUAUCCCGUCUUACGUGGGGCUGGGCAAGUUCAUGGUGUGAUCCAAAGCUGAGCAUCACCUACACAGAGUGCUAGUUUAUAGCAAGAACUGACUCCGGGCUACUCUCCAGUUCCAUGCCUAUGAUGUAGUCAUCAGAGUUGCAAAGGAACUAGAGGAUUCAUCUGACUUAACUGGAGAUGGCUCCCUUCCCCAUGUAUUGUUCCAUUCCUAAAGCUUCCCUCCUACCGGGCUCAGUGAGAGCAGAUGGGAAGAGGCACCCACCUCAGAGGUAUACAACAUAAUGAUUCGAUAUUUGUAUAUAUUGCAAAAUGAUCACCAUG
Mesoplodon densirostris (Blainville's beaked whale) is the source of this 572-nucleotide long non-coding RNA. RefSeq lists it as uncharacterized. NCBI's taxonomy places the organism in Eukaryota, Metazoa, Chordata, Mammalia, Artiodactyla, Ziphiidae. The record is from RefSeq and is a predicted model, not a curated record. The transcript has 4 exons.